GACCCAAGCUGAAAGCAGAUGCCCAAUGACUGAGCCAUCCAGUUCCAGAAAUAGAAACAAAUAAGAUGAGGCUUUUGAUCUCAUUGAACUCUCUUGGAGGCAAAGGGGCUGCAGACAUCAGAGUCACAGUAAACUGAUGGAGGAAAGCCCCAGCUACUAUGAAAAGGAAUGCAUCACAUUUGUGGAAAAUCUAAGUCAAGGUUACCCUGUGCGACGGUGGUUAAGGAGAGCAGAGGAGCUUCGAGCACCGUGUUCUCCGUCUAUUUACAGUUUGGAAAGGAUAAGGAAGGCGGUACCCGGACUGAAUGUGCCUUUGUCUUGGUGUCGUUCCAGAACUUUGAACAAUUUACUUUUUUGUUUUCUCCCAGCUCUGGCCAUAAACACUUUCUUUUCUUGUUAGCUUUUUGUGGAGAAAACUUGGGAAAGAAGUAAGACUUCAAGUACGUCCACCCAAGGUGUUUAAGAAUACCCUGCCAUUUUUGCAAUUUCCAUCCUGUCCUUUCUUUAUAUCCAUUAGUAUGGCUUUGGGUUUGGAGUUAACAUGUUAAAAUGUGUGUGUGUAUGUGAGUGUGUGCACGUGUGAAUGUGUUAGAUGGUUCUAUUAUUGUAGAAAAAUGUUUCUGAGAUGGCAUCUCAGGUGAGGUCAUAUUCUUUAAGGACUUCUGCUAAUUAUCUUGGUAUAUUUUGCCUGAAUAGAGAUAAAGAUACUUAUUCACCAAGGUUUUCCUGACAAAAAUAUAACUUUCACUUAAGGUUUGAUUUUGUCUGACUCUUACACACUUCUUCCUUCCACCUCCAUAAUCACACACACACACAGGCACACACACACAUUGUACAAUUCUGGAAUGUCUUUUUUUUUUUUUUUUUUUAGAGUU
This is a long non-coding RNA of Mustela erminea (ermine), 875 nucleotides long. RefSeq lists it as uncharacterized. The record is from RefSeq and is a predicted model, not a curated record. Lineage: Eukaryota; Metazoa; Chordata; Mammalia; Carnivora; Mustelidae. The transcript is spliced from 3 exons.